RNAcentral lists this long non-coding RNA (939 nucleotides) under Phascolarctos cinereus (koala). Its description in RNAcentral is "lncRNA (ENSPCIG00000034085.1)". The record is from RNAcentral. Lineage: Eukaryota; Metazoa; Chordata; Mammalia; Diprotodontia; Phascolarctidae.
UGAUCUCCAUGGCCCACAAUGGUCUCUAGGUGCUCUGAUUCUGACAUAACAUACGCAGCUGCCUUUGCCUCUGAAUGGAUCUGUGGUCAGUCCUGCCUGUCUUCCUCCUUAAUGACAUUUGGGCAUGAUGGUCAUUAAAAGCAUUAGGAAAUUGUGCCUCAUUAUCGUAAGCUCAGGUCAACAGCUGGAUCUGUAUUUAUCAGCACUUUGAGUCAUCAUGCCACAAGGAAUCUGUUUAUUUCCAGUUAUUUUUUAGCUGGAAUAAAAAUAAAAUAGAAGACAUGCUACUUAGGAUGACUUUGAGGAUGAAGGAGAGAGAGGGAGAAAGGCACUUUCCUUCCUAAGGGACAGAUGGUUACAACUUUCAGUUGCAAUGUCUGCUCGGCCUGGCGUCUGCUGUUUUUUGAAAGAUCUGUGAUCCUCUGGUAUUAUUCCUGGUCUGCGCUGCCUCUAGGCAUUUUGGAGCAGUUGGACAGAAGGUCUCCGUUCAAAUCCUGCCUCUAACACAGAGACUCUGACUCUUUGACCCAGCACAAAUCACUCCGACUCUCCAAGACAGUAAGUUCCAGGACAUUUGCUGAUCUGUAUGGGGAGAGGGCAUGUCUCCACCUGUGAAGUACCCACACUGAUGAAAUCACCCCUUCCAAGGUUGUUGUGAGAUAGUGGUAUAUGGAAAACACUUCACAACUGAGAGCCCUAUUAUAGAAAUGAUUGCUAUUAUUAUCCUACUACAGUCUUACAAAUGUAAUUACUUAAUUGUACUCUUGAGUUUCUCCCUGCUGGCUAGAUUGUAAGUUACUUGAGGUCAGGACCAUGGCUUACCCUUCUUUUGCAUUAUUCCACAGUGCCUAAAGCGGUGCUGAACAUAGAGUUUAGAGCUUGAAUUGGCAAAGGAGACGUGAUAGUGUCCAUGUGCUAACUCCCUCCUCUAAAUUAGCA